This 468-nucleotide ribosomal RNA is filed under the name uncultured bacterium. RNAcentral's name for it is "partial 16S ribosomal RNA". It matches the Rfam family "Bacterial small subunit ribosomal RNA", at positions 28 to 507 of the family's 1533-position model. The record is from RNAcentral.
GACGAACGCUGGCGGCGUGCUUAACACAUGCAAGUCGAACGGAAAGGCCCUGCUUUUGUGGGGUGCUCGAGUGGCGAACGGGUGAGUAACACGUGAGUAACCUGCCCUUGACUUUGGGAUAACUUCUGGAAACUGGGGCUAAUACCGGAUAGGAUCUCCUGCUGCAUGGUGGGGUUUGGAAAGUUUCGGCGGUUGGGGAUGGACUCGCGGCUUAUCAGCUUGUUGGUGGGGUAGUGGCUUACCAAGGCUUUGACGGGUAGCCGGCCUGAGAGGGUGACCGGCCACAUUGGGACUGAGAUACGGCGCAGACUACUACGGGAGGCAGGAGUGGGGAAUAUUGCACAAUGGGCGGAAGCCUGAUGCAGAAACGCCGCGUGCGGGAUGACGGCCUUCGGGUUGUAAACCGCUUUAGCAUGUGACGAAGCGUGAGUGACGGUAAUGGGUAAAGAAGCACCGGCUAACUACGUG